GCCUGGGUGGCUCAGCUGGUUAAGCGUCCGACUUCCAAUCAGGUCCAGAUCUCAUGGUUUGUGGGUUUGCGUCCCACAUCGGGCU
RNAcentral lists this transfer RNA (85 nucleotides) under Felis catus (domestic cat). It matches the Rfam family "tRNA". Rfam says of the family: Transfer RNA (tRNA) molecules are approximately 80 nucleotides in length. Their secondary structure includes four short double-helical elements and three loops (D, anti-codon, and T loops). The record is from Rfam by way of RNAcentral. Lineage: Eukaryota; Metazoa; Chordata; Mammalia; Carnivora; Felidae.